RNAcentral lists this ribosomal RNA (329 nucleotides) under uncultured eukaryote. RNAcentral's name for it is "partial 18S ribosomal RNA". It matches the Rfam family "Eukaryotic small subunit ribosomal RNA", at positions 1470 to 1796 of the family's 1831-position model. The record is from RNAcentral.
CCCUUAGAUGUUCUGGGCCGCACGCGUGCUACACUGAUGCAUUCAACGAGUCUAAAACCUGGUCUGAUAGGGCUGGGUAAUCUUUUGAAAGUGCAUCGUGAUUGGGAUAGAUGAUUGCAAUUUUUCAUCUUCAACGAGGAAUGCCUAGUAAACGCAAGUCAUCAGCUUGCAUUGAUUACGUCCCUGCCCUUUGUACACACCGCCCGUCGCUCCUACCGAUUGAAUGAUCCGAUGAAUAUCAUGGAUUGAGGAUUAUAGCAGGUUCGCCUGUCUUGAUCUUCGAGAAGUGAAGUAAAUCUUAUCAUUUAGAGGAAGGAGAAGUCGUAACA